RNAcentral lists this ribosomal RNA (253 nucleotides) under uncultured bacterium. RNAcentral describes it as "partial 16S ribosomal RNA". It matches the Rfam family "Bacterial small subunit ribosomal RNA", at positions 524 to 776 of the family's 1533-position model. The record is from RNAcentral.
UCCGUAGGGGGCAAGCGUUGUCCGGAUUUAUUGGGCGUAAAGAGCGUGUAGGCGGCCUGGAAGGUCAGCUGUGAAAACUCGAGGCUCAACCUCGAGACGUCGGUUGAAACCACCUGGCUAGAGUCCGGAAGAGGAGAGUGGAAUUCCCGGUGUAGCGGUGAAAUGCGCAGAUAUCGGGAAGAACACCCGUGGCGAAGGCGGCUCUCUGGGACGGUACUGACGCUGAGACGCGAAAGCGUGGGGAGCGAACAGG